Long non-coding RNA from Cydia splendana, 1244 nucleotides. RefSeq lists it as uncharacterized. The record is from RefSeq and is a predicted model, not a curated record. The transcript is spliced from 2 exons. NCBI's taxonomy places the organism in Eukaryota, Metazoa, Arthropoda, Insecta, Lepidoptera, Tortricidae.
UUUUUUAAUGCUCGUUCAUGACACGACAGUCUUCACAUUUGAGAGCAAGACGAUAUAUGCACUUAUAUAGAGCCGUCUCGCUCUCAUGGACUCUCAUUCGACGUGAAGAUAGCCUAAAGUCGUAGGCGCGGUUAUGUUGUUCAAUAUUUUCAAGUUUGUAUAAUUAGUAGGAUUUGAUUGAAAUUUUUGUACAACGUGAACCAUUUUUAUAGCCCUUUCCAUUUGUUCCACGGACUUGGAAGUACAUAUAAUUUUUUUUAAAUAUCAUCUGCAUCAAGUUACUUCGAGCCGUUUAAAUCUACCAAAUCGAAAAUCCAGUCGAGACUGGACCGGCCAUUGCUUUGCGCCUGCGAUUUUUUUCAGUCGGCAACGGAAUUGCCUAAGCAAACAGUUUUUUAUUAAGUUUAAAAACUGCACUCAAUAGUUCUGUUAUAAAUAUGAUCACUUUGAUCAUUAAACAAGCCCCCUUAAUUACUUCUGCUGCUGACUGUAAAUGAACAAUGACGAACGUCUAUCGCAUUUUGCUUCUGGGGCAGGCAAAAUUAACUUUAAUACUAAGUUUUAGAGCAGUGGCUUACAUUUUGUAUGAUGUAUGCGAUAUCAGAACAAAGGCAUAACUACCGUUGCGAAUUAGUAAUCCGCGCUAAUGUCAGAUAGGCACGAACCUAAUGUUUAAAAUUUAUGCGAACAUUUUCCGUAUUAAAAACAUCUGUCAACGAAAUAAUUUAAUAUUGGAAUUAUUAACUAGUUGGAAAUGAAUUAGACAAAAUAACUUUUGAAUAGAGUGGGUAUGUAACACUUAUGCUUAAAUAUAACUGGGAGUAUAUCUUCGCAUGUAACGUAUGUGUUACUUGACAAUAAUGUUAAGAUAGAUGGUUUUAGCCCAAACCCUCUCGCGCAUGAGAGGAGCCUGUGCCCAGCAGUGCGACGUAGAUAGGCUGAUAUUUAAAAAAAUGGUUUGGUAACGGGUCAAAAAUGAGUUGUCUUUGCAACGUAAAAUAAAUAAUGACGAGCAAAGAUAACCAUACAAGUGUUUAAUCUUUUGAACGCUUUAUGUUAUAAACACAAACAUCACUCAAAACGCCAAGGUUCCGGGCGCAAGCGAGCUAAUGUAAACCUUACUUGAAAGUGUGAAGGUUACUUUUACAGCGUCCGCCAUAACACCUACAGUUGUCCUUGGCGCUGUGGGCACGACUAGUAACGAUGACUUCAGGUGUACUUGGCGUUCAAAAGUUUAAAUUUAA